CAAAAAUUGAAUGCCUUGCUUGGUGUCAGCUCUUCGUAGUUUCCUGCACAGAGAGUGCAAGCAAGAGGUUAAGCCACCCCUACCUACCAGAGACACCAGAAAAUAGAGCCCAGCUGAGCACCUGGAAGGAGGCCUGGUCCCCGUGCUGGACACCAAACAUUUAUUAGAUGUGUGCAGAGGACAGACCUGCAGUAAGGUAGAUAAAUGGAGAUGGAGCUUAAAUGUUGGGGUACUUCAUUGCAGCAAGAAUGCCAAGGAUGAAAAGUAUGACCUGAAAACUGGUGAAUCAUUUGAGGAAAUCAGUGGACUGUUCUUAGAAAGCUGAUAAUC
This is a long non-coding RNA of Athene cunicularia (burrowing owl), 330 nucleotides long. RefSeq lists it as uncharacterized. The transcript is spliced from 4 exons. Lineage: Eukaryota; Metazoa; Chordata; Aves; Strigiformes; Strigidae. The record is from RefSeq and is a predicted model, not a curated record.